This is a long non-coding RNA of Orussus abietinus, 533 nucleotides long. RefSeq lists it as uncharacterized. The transcript is spliced from 4 exons. Lineage: Eukaryota; Metazoa; Arthropoda; Insecta; Hymenoptera; Orussidae. The record is from RefSeq and is a predicted model, not a curated record.
CGCCGAGCAGGGCAUCUCGAGGGUGAAUCUCCUCACGGGAGCAACUAGCACGGGUUAUGCGGCGACGAAGAGCGGCGUUCGCGACUCGCCAGCAUCUGCGACUCUCUCUCGAUUUUUCAGGUUCUCAACCCGAGACCGCCUGACCCCUGAAAACUCAGGAAAGACUCCCGCAAUGGCGCUCAUGGAUACCAGACACGUCGACUCCAGAAUAACAAAGACCAAUUUCAAGGAAACACCAUAAUGGACAGGUACCUGAAUAUUUUUAUUUUCAAUUACGCAGGCUAAUUUGUGGUGGUCUUCGCAUUUCAUUACCGUGGCAGGAAGCGAUAUGAAAAUUGAGGAGGUCAGGUUGAUUAUUUUUUCGUGACCGAGGUUUUUUUGAGGAGAACUGGAAAGCGGUAGUUUCCGCGAUUAGGGAAUAGGAGGCUCCCUCGGAUGAGAACACCUGUGUUCGGGCUGGAUACCUGCUCUUCGCGGUUACUCCUCCUGCCACGUCCUUCUCAUCUUCUCCCUCUUAGGACCCAAGCUAGGCC